GAUUUUGUCCUCAGUGGUAGAGGCUCAGCUUUGCAUGCGGAAGAUUCUGGGUUCAAUCCCUGGUUUCUCCA
This 71-nucleotide transfer RNA is filed under the name Sphaerodactylus townsendi. RNAcentral's name for it is "tRNA-Ala". Lineage: Eukaryota; Metazoa; Chordata; Lepidosauria; Squamata; Sphaerodactylidae. The record is from RNAcentral.